UACGUAGGGGGCGAGCGUUGUCCGGAAUUAUUGGGCGCAAAGAGCGUGUAGGCGGUCCGGUAAGUCCGCUGUGAAAGUCCAGGGCUCAACCCUGGAAUGCCGGUGGAUACUGCCGGGCUAGAGUCCGGAAGAGGCGAGUGGAAUUCCUGGUGUAGCGGUGAAAUGCGCAGAUAUCAGGAGGAACACCGAUGGCGAAGGCAGCUCGCUGGGACGGUACUGACGCUGAGACGCGAAAGCGUGGGGAGCAAACAGG
RNAcentral lists this ribosomal RNA (253 nucleotides) under uncultured bacterium. RNAcentral describes it as "partial 16S ribosomal RNA". It matches the Rfam family "Bacterial small subunit ribosomal RNA", at positions 524 to 776 of the family's 1533-position model. The record is from RNAcentral.